UGGGGAAUUUUGGACAAUGGGCGCAAGCCUGAUCCAGCCAUGCCGCGUGCGGGAAGAAGGCCUUCGGGUUGUAAACCGCUUUUGUCAGGGAAGAAAUCUUCUGAGUUAAUACCUCGGGAGGAUGACGGUACCUGAAGAAUAAGCACCGGCUAACUACGUGCCAGCAGCCGCGGUAAUACGUAGGGUGCAAGCGUUAAUCGGAAUUACUGGGCGUAAAGCGUGCGCAGGCGGUUUUGUAAGACAGAGGUGAAAUCCCCGGGCUCAACCUGGGAGCUGCCUUUGUGACUGCAAGGCUUGAGUGCGGCAGAGGGGGGAUGGAAUUCCGCGUGUAGCAGUGAAAUGCGUAGAUAUGCGGAGGAAACACCGAUGGCGAAGGCAAUCCCCCUGGGCCUGCACUGACGCUCAUGCACGAAAGCGUGGGGAGCAAACAGAUUAGAUACCCUGGUAGUCCACGCCCUAAACGAUGUCAACUGGUUGUUGGGAAGGUUCCUUCUCAGUAACGUAGCUAACGCGUGAAGUUGACCGCCUGGGGAGUACGGCCGCAAGGUUG
Molecule: ribosomal RNA, 550 nt
Filed under: uncultured bacterium
Lineage: Bacteria
Description: partial 16S ribosomal RNA
Rfam family: Bacterial small subunit ribosomal RNA
Source: RNAcentral